This 253-nucleotide ribosomal RNA is filed under the name uncultured bacterium. RNAcentral's name for it is "partial 16S ribosomal RNA". It matches the Rfam family "Bacterial small subunit ribosomal RNA", at positions 524 to 776 of the family's 1533-position model. The record is from RNAcentral.
UACGUAGGGUGCAAGCGUUGUCCGGAAUUAUUGGGCGUAAAGAGCUCGUAGGCGGUCUGUUGCGUCGGCUGUGAAAACCCGGGGCUCAACCCCGGGCCUGCAGCCGAUACGGGCAGACUAGAGUUCGGCAGGGGAGACUGGAAUUCCUGGUGUAGCGGUGAAAUGCGCAGAUAUCAGGAGGAACACCGGUGGCGAAGGCGGGUCUCUGGGCCGAUACUGACGCCGAGGAGCGAAAGCGUGGGGAGCAAACAGG